Molecule: long non-coding RNA, 587 nt
Filed under: Elaeis guineensis (African oil palm)
Lineage: Eukaryota; Viridiplantae; Streptophyta; Magnoliopsida; Arecales; Arecaceae
Description: long non-coding RNA (EGUI_LNC054987)
Source: RNAcentral
GCCAACAUGAUAGAUUAUAUUUUGAUUAGGUCACUAAUCGAUUCGAGCUGACCAAUGCCAUCAAAGUAAAUCAGUAUGACUGAUUCAAGUGUCUUUAGACUAGCUUGUAUAAAGUCUCCUUCAAGACUUGGUGAAGUCAGCGGGAGGAUUUACGAUUUACAGGUCAAUUUCUUCUCUUAUUCUCAAAUCAUUAAAUCAAAUUUUCUAAAUUAUUAGGUCCUUAAAAUGAUAUAGUUAUGAAGAUAGCUUGUCCUUAGCCUUUCAUUAAGGUACAUGAUAAUGAGUUCUAUAUUCUAAAUAAGCAUUGGAGGUGCCACAUGCUUGGUAUCUAUUGGGUAUUGAAAUUAUCAUUCAUCGUAUGACCAUCUUGUUAUGCCCUCCAAAUCAAUGCUCAGGUUGGUCGAGCCACACUCAGAUCUGGAUAUUCAUUUGUUGGAUGCGCUUGAUGUAGUUAUGUUAAUGGUUGGACCUAACCAGAAUUUUUAGUGGAGGCACCACACGCCUGCUGAAGAGAUGUCUGGGGUAAAAUCUAAUUGCUAGAAGUUGUUUAGAUAAAUAAUUGUUUAGGAACCUACCCAUGGAUGCCC